Molecule: long non-coding RNA, 1267 nt
Organism: Oncorhynchus gorbuscha (pink salmon)
Lineage: Eukaryota; Metazoa; Chordata; Actinopteri; Salmoniformes; Salmonidae
Exons: 2
Source: RefSeq, a predicted model, not a curated record
AGGGCUUAUGGGGGUGUUUACAGCCUGUUGACAGCAAAAAGAAAGUAUUAGACUGAGUGUGACAGGAAGAUACAAAUGCUCAUGUUAGCUAAGAUUCUGAAUUUAUGAAGUUAGCAUCCCAAUAAAACAAACUCAACAACUGAACAAAGUUGGCUUGCGCUAGCGAGCCCUACCUGGUUACUGGCGAUAGUCAUGCUAGCUAGUGGAAGUAAGUUAGUCCCUCAACCUGCUGCAAGAUGAAGCUGCCCGGCCAGAUCCACCUGCUGCAGAAAGGUCAUAUUUCUCCAUUACUUUCUGUAGCUAACUUAUUUUCCCUGGAGGGCCACAUUAGAAUAUAUGUUUGCCAUCGCUGGCCAGAAUCAUUACAGGAUUGAUAAUACAUCAAGUGUAUGACUGUGUUGACAGAUAUAUCUACUGUAAAUCACGUCCAGAUAUGCUACUUAUUUAACUUUUUUAACAUGCACAGAAUUAAACCACAUCCAUGUUCUCCUUUUGGAAGGUAUUUUCAUUAUUAAACAUGAAAUGAACUACACGGAGGGAGAAGUACACUGUGCAUUCAGCACCACGGACAGAACUCUUGUUAACAGAUGGUAUGUAGUCUUGUUGAUGGAUCCUGCAGGCCUGUUUCAGGGACAACUGGACAGGACACUUCUUGGACUUCAGCUGAGACCAUCUACGUCCUUCAAGGAACGCCCCUUCUUUCCUCUUCCUGUUUUACAUUAAGCUCUCAAGGUGUGUCACCAUUUCUCUCAUGGCGUGUGGUAUUACCUAUAGAUGGUCCCUAAACACUUUAAAAUGCUUUGCCUGUGAAUGGUUGUCCACAUCAUCAGGUUAUAUACUUACCUGUGUCUUUAAAUACUGUGUCCCUCUCACCAAAUGUUUAUGAAUCCUCAGCUGACCUAUGCUUUCUUUCCUCUCUCUUGGGGCGGCAGGGUAGCCUAGUGGUUAGAGCGUUGGAAGGUUGCAAGUUCAAACCCCUGAGCUGACAAGGUACAAAUCUGUCGUUCUGCCCCUGAACAGGCAGUUAACCCACUGUUCCUAGGCCGUCAUUGAAAAUAAGAAUUUGUUCUAAACUAUAAAGGUCAAAUAAAAAAUUACAAAAUUAAAUUUCUCUCCAGGAUACAUUAGGGGAAGUUGUUUUUUUGUUGGCACCAAUCCUAUGCAGCCAGGCUGCCAAAUCCCCCUCAUAUCCCCCUCAUACUAAACUGUGCUCACUCUUGUUCAACUGCCCUUUGAUUGAAUCGGUUUAAUUAAAUGUUUAAAUUUG